GCUUUCGUGGUGUAGUGGUCAGCGCGCUCGACGCGUAUUCGAGAGGUCCGUGGUUCGACUCCCGUCGAGGGCA
RNAcentral lists this transfer RNA (73 nucleotides) under Stegodyphus mimosarum. It matches the Rfam family "tRNA". Rfam says of the family: Transfer RNA (tRNA) molecules are approximately 80 nucleotides in length. Their secondary structure includes four short double-helical elements and three loops (D, anti-codon, and T loops). Further hydrogen bonds mediate the characteristic L-shaped molecular structure. tRNAs have two regions of fundamental functional importance: the anti-codon, which is responsible for specific mRNA codon recognition, and the 3' end, to which the tRNAs corresponding amino acid is attached (by aminoacyl-tRNA synthetases). tRNAs cope with the degeneracy of the genetic code in two manners: having more than one tRNA (with a specific anti-codon) for a particular amino acid; and 'wobble' base-pairing, i.e. permitting non-standard base-pairing at the 3rd anti-codon position. The record is from Rfam by way of RNAcentral. Lineage: Eukaryota; Metazoa; Arthropoda; Arachnida; Araneae; Eresidae.